GAUGAACGCUGGCGGCGUGCCUAAUACAUGCAAGUCGAGCGAACAGAUGAGGAGCUUGCUCCCCUGACGUUAGCGGCGGACGGGUGAGUAACACGUGGAUAACCUACCUAUAAGACUGGGAUAACUUCGGGAAACCGGAGCUAAUACCGGAUAAUAUAUUGAACCGCAUGGUUCAAUAGUGAAAGACGGUUUUGCUGUCACUUAUAGAUGGAUCCGCGCCGCAUUAGCUAGUUGGUAAGGUAACGGCUUACCAAGGCAACGAUGCGUAGCCGACCUGAGAGGGUGAUCGGCCACACUGGAGCUGAGACACGGUCCAGACUCCUACGGGAGGCAGCAGUAGGGAAUCUUCCGCAAUGGGCGAAAGCCUGACGGAGCAACGCCGCGUGAGUGAUGAAGGUCUUCGGAUCGUAAAACUCUGUUAUUAGGGAAGAACAAAUGUGUAAGUAACUAUGCACGUCUUGACGGUACCUAAUCAGAAAGCCACGGCUAACUACGUG
RNAcentral lists this ribosomal RNA (497 nucleotides) under uncultured bacterium. Its description in RNAcentral is "partial 16S ribosomal RNA". It matches the Rfam family "Bacterial small subunit ribosomal RNA", at positions 28 to 507 of the family's 1533-position model. The record is from RNAcentral.